RNAcentral lists this long non-coding RNA (433 nucleotides) under Trifolium pratense (red clover). RNAcentral describes it as "long non-coding RNA (TPRA_LNC005776)". Lineage: Eukaryota; Viridiplantae; Streptophyta; Magnoliopsida; Fabales; Fabaceae. The record is from RNAcentral.
GCCAACCUCCUCCGUCAAUGUCCUUUAUCAUUGUUUUUUUUUUUUUAUCUUCUCUACACUUCCCCUCUAAUUUAAAUUUUUUUUUCUUCUACUUACAUCUUCUACUUACUUCCCCUCUGAGUACUCCAUUGCGACAAACUCCAUCUCUUACAAGCAUUUUUCAACAAUCGUUUGCACUAUAAAAAAUCACGUUUUCUACACCACUGGUGAAAACUGAAAACCAGAUUUCAAAAGUAAAAAUAAGUUUUACCAAAAAUCUGUUAUGCUUGCCUGGUGGGAUGGUGGUAACUGGUUUCACAGAGAAAGCUGAAAAUGUGGACAAUGUUGAAACCGGUUGUACAGGUUGCCAAUUAAACCAUUUAGUGAAAAUAAUGAUGUGGCAGCAAAACAAUGGGUGUGUUGGUAGGCGAGGGUUUAAACGUGUGACGCUAGC